This is a non-coding RNA of Thalictrum thalictroides, 69 nucleotides long. NCBI's taxonomy places the organism in Eukaryota, Viridiplantae, Streptophyta, Magnoliopsida, Ranunculales, Ranunculaceae. The record is from the annotation of a GenBank genome assembly.
GCGUAAUGAUGAUGAACUUUUAUCAACCGAAAUUUCCAUGAAUGGAUAAAAUCCUCCUACUCAUUCUGA